RNAcentral lists this unclassified non-coding RNA (267 nucleotides) under uncultured Ascomycota. Its description in RNAcentral is "sequence contains 5.8S rRNA gene, ITS2, 28S rRNA gene". Lineage: Eukaryota; Fungi; Ascomycota. The record is from RNAcentral.
AACGCAUAUUGCGCCCUUUGGCAUUCCGAAGGGCAUGCCUGUUCGAGCGUCAUCAAAAUAUCUCGAGCCUGAUACUGUAUUUGGCUUGGUUCUGAAUAAGGAGUACUGUUGAUGUGUUCCUAUUCGAAAAAUAAUGGCGAAUGUGACUGUUCUGUAUGGUGUAGUAAUGAUCUCAUCCUCUCACCAUAGAGCUUUCACUUUCCGUCGUCAUUCCAGUAAGUAAGCGAUUUUGACCUCGGAUCAGGUAAGGAUACCCGCUGAACUUAA